This 253-nucleotide ribosomal RNA is filed under the name uncultured bacterium. RNAcentral's name for it is "partial 16S ribosomal RNA". It matches the Rfam family "Bacterial small subunit ribosomal RNA", at positions 524 to 776 of the family's 1533-position model. The record is from RNAcentral.
UACGUAGGGGGCUAGCGUUGUCCGGAAUCAUUGGGCGUAAAGCGCGUGUAGGCGGUCCGGUAAGUCCGCUGUGAAAGUCGAGGGCUCAACCCUCGAAUGCCGGUGGAUACUGUCGGGCUCGAGUCCGGAAGAGGCGAGUGGAAUUCCUGGUGUAGCGGUGAAAUGCGCAGAUAUCAGGAGGAACACCAAUGGCGAAGGCAGCUCGCUGGGACGUGACUGACGCUGAGACGCGAAAGCGUGGGGAGCAAACAGG